AUUUACCAGCGUGUUCAGAAUCCAGCACAGGACCAGGAUGUUGAAGGACCUGAUGUAUCUGGGAGCAUGUAGUUUAAGCUGUGCCCACCUGAAUUCGCUGGGGCUGAUGGUGAUGACCUGGAAGACACUCAGGAGGCAGGCAUUGCUAACGCACACAGCCCUGCCCACUCUGUGAACAUAAAACACAAGUUUGCAUCCAAUAUCACUGAGGGAAUCUUUCGACCCAAAAGCAGCCAUUGUUUGUGGGAUUCCUUUAGAGAGUAUAACCUAGGAGUUGGCUACGGUCAGAUGCUUGAGAAUCAGAUCUGUGGACCAUAACAUACCUCUGGUGAAACAAAGGAAACUAUAGUGGUAAAGAAGAAAGAAAUUCCCCAGGAAUCCAACUAUGAUCUGAGAUAAGAAGAUCAUGCCUAUUGAAAAAUCCCUGGAGGCCAUUUGUCAUUUUUCAGUGUCUGAUAAUUACAUUCAAAGUGAGAGAACCCUGCGUGGAAACAUAAACUCUGUUUCACUUUGCAAAUAAAAUCCACUAUUGUCCACUUAC
Molecule: long non-coding RNA, 541 nt
Filed under: Pan troglodytes (chimpanzee)
Lineage: Eukaryota; Metazoa; Chordata; Mammalia; Primates; Hominidae
Description: lincRNA
Source: RNAcentral